RNAcentral lists this ribosomal RNA (468 nucleotides) under uncultured bacterium. Its description in RNAcentral is "partial 16S ribosomal RNA". It matches the Rfam family "Bacterial small subunit ribosomal RNA", at positions 28 to 507 of the family's 1533-position model. The record is from RNAcentral.
GACGAACGCUGGCGGCGUGCUUAACACAUGCAAGUCGAACGGACAGGCCCUGCUUUUGUUGGUUGCUCGAGUGGCGAACGGGUGAGUAACACGUGAGUAACCUGCCCUUGACUUUGGGAUAACUUCAGGAAACUGGGUCUAAUACCGGAUAUGAGCUCCUGCUGCAUGGUGGGGGUUGGAAAGUUUCGGCGGUUGGGGAUGGACUCGCGGCUUAUCAGCUUGUUGGUGGGGUAGUGGCUUACCAAGGCUUUGACGGGUAGCCGGCCUGAGAGGGUGACCGGCCACAUGGGGACUGAGAGACGGCCCAGAAUCCUACGGGAGGCAGCAGUGGGGAAUAUUGCACAAUGGGCGGAAGCCUGAUGCAGCAACGCCGCGUGCGGGAUGACGGCCUUCGGGUUGUAAACCGCUUUCGCCUGUGACGAAGAGUGAGUGACGGUAAUGGGUAAAGAAGCACCGGCUAACUACGUG